RNAcentral lists this long non-coding RNA (344 nucleotides) under Mytilus galloprovincialis (Mediterranean mussel). The record is from RNAcentral. Lineage: Eukaryota; Metazoa; Mollusca; Bivalvia; Mytilida; Mytilidae.
CCGCCUAAUUUUUUUCUUGCGAUAAACAUUUGUUUUGCAAUAUGUCGCUUAGAUAUUUGGUAUAUGAUAUCGAACAAUUGAUGUGCUUUUGAAAUUUACCCUGCGUAACCGAAAACUUUUCUUUGUAGGAGUAAUCUCCCCAAACACUGUUUUCCUUGUGAGCGCAACUCCUUCGCAAACGUAAAAUAUUAUGACAAAUUUAUUUUACAAAAUUGCUCGUUAUAUCCUUUGCAUGAUUUGUCCUAUUUUGACCGAAGUGAUAUGAAUGCUCCAUACGAGAGUUAUUUCCCCUUAUUCAUUUGAUAUAAGUGAAUUGCAUUUCUAACUGGUAAACCAUAAUUGAU